RNAcentral lists this transfer RNA (88 nucleotides) under Clostridia bacterium. RNAcentral describes it as "tRNA-Ser". It matches the Rfam family "tRNA". From Rfam's summary of the family: Transfer RNA (tRNA) molecules are approximately 80 nucleotides in length. Their secondary structure includes four short double-helical elements and three loops (D, anti-codon, and T loops). Further hydrogen bonds mediate the characteristic L-shaped molecular structure. tRNAs have two regions of fundamental functional importance: the anti-codon, which is responsible for specific mRNA codon recognition, and the 3' end, to which the tRNAs corresponding amino acid is attached (by aminoacyl-tRNA synthetases). tRNAs cope with the degeneracy of the genetic code in two manners: having more than one tRNA (with a specific anti-codon) for a particular amino acid; and 'wobble' base-pairing, i.e. permitting non-standard base-pairing at the 3rd anti-codon position. The record is from RNAcentral. Lineage: Bacteria; Bacillati; Bacillota; Clostridia.
GAGGAAGUGGGUGAGAGGCUUAUACCAGCAGUUUGCUAAACUGCCGUAUCGAAAGGUACCGUUGGUUCGAAUCCAACCUUUCUCGCCA